UACGUAGGGGGCAAGCGUUGUCCGGAUUUAUUGGGCGUAAAGCGCACGUAGGCGGCUUUCUAAGUCAGGUGUGAAAUCCUGGAGCUCAACUCCAGAACUGCCUUUGAUACUGGAGAGCUUGAGUCCGGGAGAGGUGAGUGGAACUCCGAGUGUAGAGGUGAAAUUCGUAGAUAUUCGGAAGAACACCAGUGGCGAAGGCGGCUCACUGGCCCGGUACUGACGCUGAUGUGCGAAAGCGUGGGGAGCAAACAGG
This 253-nucleotide ribosomal RNA is filed under the name uncultured bacterium. Its description in RNAcentral is "partial 16S ribosomal RNA". It matches the Rfam family "Bacterial small subunit ribosomal RNA", at positions 524 to 776 of the family's 1533-position model. The record is from RNAcentral.